GACGAACGCUGGCAGCGUGCUUAACACAUGCAAGUCGAGCGGUAAGACCCUUCGGGGUACACGAGCGGCGAACGGGUGAGUAACACGUGAGCAACCUGCCCUGGACUCUGGGAUAAGCGCUGGAAACGGCGUCUAAUACUGGAUAUGAACCACGAAGGCAUCUUCAGUGGUUGGAAAGAUUUUUCGGUCUGGGAUGGGCU
Molecule: ribosomal RNA, 200 nt
Filed under: uncultured bacterium
Lineage: Bacteria
Description: partial 16S ribosomal RNA
Rfam family: Bacterial small subunit ribosomal RNA
Source: RNAcentral